This 497-nucleotide non-coding RNA is filed under the name Ipomoea nil (Japanese morning glory). RNAcentral's name for it is "Eukaryotic small subunit ribosomal RNA". It matches the Rfam family "Eukaryotic small subunit ribosomal RNA", at positions 429 to 947 of the family's 1831-position model. The record is from Rfam by way of RNAcentral. Lineage: Eukaryota; Viridiplantae; Streptophyta; Magnoliopsida; Solanales; Convolvulaceae.
AUGGUAGGCCACUAUCCUACCAUCGAAAGUUGAUAGGGCAGAAAUUUGAAUGACAAUGCCGGGCUCGAUCGAGUCUGGUAAUUGGAAGAGUACAAUCUAAAUCCCUUAACGAGGAUCCAUUGCCCGGAAGUCCUUGCCAGCAGCCGCGCAAUUCUUCCUCCAAUAGCGUUAUUUAAGUUGUUGCAGUUAAAAGCUCGUAGUUGGACUUUGUAGAUGGGCCGGCCGGUCCGCCCCACGGGUGUGCACCGGUCGUUCGUCCCUUCUGCCGGCGAGCGCUCCUGGCCUACAAUUGGGGGUCGUGCCUCCGCUGUUACUUGACUAAAUUAGAGUGCUCAAAGCAAGCCUACGCUCUGUAUACAUUAGCAUGGGAUAACAUUAUAGGAUUUCGUCCUAUUCGUUCCUUCGGGAUCGGAGUAAUGAUUAACAGGGACAGUCGGGAAUCAUUGAGUCGUGAAAUAAUCCUCGACGCCCCUUGCCCUCAAGGUGGACCGAAUCCG